GUCCACGCUGUAAACGAUGAGAACUAGAUGCUGGUGGGGAACCCAUCAGUAUCGAAGCUAACGCGAUAAGUUCUCCGCCUGGGAGUACGGCCGCAAGGUUGAAACUCAAAUGAAUUGACGGGGCCCGCACAAGCGGUGGAGCAUGUGGUUUAAUUCGAUGAUACGCGAGGAACCUUACCAGGGCUUGAAAGUGAGAGGAAUUAUUUGGAAACAGAUAAGUCUUCGGACCUCUUACUAGGUGCUGCAUGGCUGUCGU
This 256-nucleotide ribosomal RNA is filed under the name uncultured bacterium. RNAcentral describes it as "partial 16S ribosomal RNA". It matches the Rfam family "Bacterial small subunit ribosomal RNA", at positions 793 to 1055 of the family's 1533-position model. The record is from RNAcentral.